RNAcentral lists this unclassified non-coding RNA (401 nucleotides) under fungal sp. RNAcentral describes it as "partial internal transcribed spacer region". The stretch from base 1 to 46 matches the Rfam family "Eukaryotic small subunit ribosomal RNA", at positions 1786 to 1831 of the family's 1831-position model. The record is from RNAcentral. Lineage: Eukaryota; Fungi.
AAGUCGUAACAAGGUUUCCGUAGGUGAACCUGCGGAAGGAUCAUUAACACGCAUUUAAAAGCAUCCAAAUAUCAACAAAUCACAACCAAACGGUCAACUAUCUCCUCCCUAUUUCGCACACCGGAGACGGUACGAGUAGGCUAACAUGUAAAUAACAACAAAGCUCAAUCAAGCAAUUGGUUGCGCAUACAAUGUUAUUUUCAAACACAAGAUAACCCCUUUUAAUUAUAUUAUUCAUUUAAUAUAAACGAACAACUCUUCGAAUUUGCCCUUCCUUUUGAUUUUAUUUUCAAUGAAGAACAAAAACGAACUAAACUAAAAUAUACAUUCGAUAUAUUUUUAUUUUACGAAAUAAUAUAUAUUUAUAAGAACAACUCUUAGCAAUGGAUAUCUUGGUUCUC